UGGGGAAUAUUGGACAAUGGGCGCAAGCCUGAUCCAGCCAUGCCGCGUGAGUGAUGAAGGCCCUAGGGUUGUAAAGCUCUUUCACCGGUGAAGAUAAUGACGGUAACCGGAGAAGAAGCCCCGGCUAACUUCGUGCCAGCAGCCGCGGUAAUACGAAGGGGGCUAGCGUUGUUCGGAUUUACUGGGCGUAAAGCGCACGUAGGCGGAGUUUUAAGUCAGGGGUGAAAUCCCGGGGCUCAACCCCGGAACUGCCUUUGAUAAUGGAAGUCUUGAGUAUGGUAGAGGUGAGUGGAAUUCCGAGUGUAGAGGUGAAAUUCGUAGAUAUUCGGAGGAACACCAGUGGCGAAGGCGGCUCACUGGACCAUUACUGACGCUGAGGUGCGAAAGCGUGGGGAGCAAAAAGG
Molecule: ribosomal RNA, 404 nt
Filed under: Actinomycetes bacterium
Lineage: Bacteria; Bacillati; Actinomycetota; Actinomycetes
Description: Actinobacteria bacterium partial 16S ribosomal RNA
Rfam family: Bacterial small subunit ribosomal RNA
Source: RNAcentral